RNAcentral lists this ribosomal RNA (251 nucleotides) under uncultured bacterium. RNAcentral's name for it is "partial 16S ribosomal RNA". It matches the Rfam family "Bacterial small subunit ribosomal RNA", at positions 1252 to 1500 of the family's 1533-position model. The record is from RNAcentral.
AGAUGGUGACAUGGAGGCAAAUCCCAAAAAUAAACGUCCCAGUUCGGAUUGCAGCCUGCAACUCGGCUGCAUGAAGCUGGAAUCGCUAGUAAUCGCGGAUCAGAAUGCCGCGGUGAAUACGUUCCCGGGCCUUGUACACACCGCCCGUCACACCAUGGGAGUCGGUAACACCCGAAGUCGGUAGCCUAACCGUAAGGAGGGCGCCGCCGAAGGUGGGAUUGAUGACUGGGGUGAAGUCGUAACAAGGUAAC